UGUUAUUUUUCAAACCUUCCAAAGUUGCAACGUUUUUAACCUUCAAAACUCGAUCAUUGAUGUUUCUAAGAGUCCUUCGCUUAAGGAUUUCACAGGGGAAAAUCCAUCCGAACAUUGAUGUUUUUGAGAAUUUGAAUCAUUCAAUUUGGCACAGUAAUUCCAUCCCUCACUGAUUAAUACAUCUCUAAACCCUUUGUUUCUUUUCUACUUUCAUUUUCUUUUUAGAUUUUAUUUCAUCAAUUAAAUUCUAAUUUCCUUUGUUAAUUUGUCUUGGAUCUUGGGUUUCUUUAUCGAGCAAUAAUUCAAAAAGAAAAUUGCUUCAGAAAACAAA
Molecule: long non-coding RNA, 331 nt
Organism: Gossypium arboreum
Lineage: Eukaryota; Viridiplantae; Streptophyta; Magnoliopsida; Malvales; Malvaceae
Exons: 2
Source: RefSeq, a predicted model, not a curated record